CCGCCAAAAGCAUGGUGUAAAAGAUAAAUAUGUUCAUACAUACUUUAAAGCAGAUAAUUGAAGUAUAAAAUUACUUUUACAGUGACACAUGGGCCCCCAACUGACUAAGAAGGUGUAGGGCUACGAACCCUUACUUUCUAGGACGAAACUCCGAGAUUAAUUCUCGUCUUAAUCAACUAUCAACAAACUAUUCUGAGCCUGAAAAAUGGAUAGGAAGAGGGGUGAGAUUAUGAUUACAUAAUCCCAGUGAGUAAACAGACACCAUCUAAACUAUCUAAAGGCAAGUAAAGGGAGACAAUUAAAAAUAGUUCAUUUCAGCAAAUUUUUCACAACACGAAUAUUAAUUUCAACCAAAUAAUCAAUAUGGCUCGUGAAUUUCUCAAAACUUGGCUCCUGCCAAAAUCAUUCUUGCGGGUAUCUUCGUCAAGGUAUCCCACUGAGACCGCCAAGGCUGUUAAAAAUUCAUAUUUCGCAUAAAACACAUUUUUCGUUGAACAUCACAGUCGUUCCCUGGUGUUGGUUGAGUCUCACUCUCACGUGGUGGUUAACAUGAAAUGCACUCAAAAAGCCCACCUCAGGAGAUACCCUACACGCCUCUACGACUGAGAAUAUAAAGGAGUUUACCGUGCCCCUCUAAUAAGCUGGUCCACAGAACCCCUACCACUGCAGUAGCUAAUCUUUAAUCCACCAAUUGAUCAAAUCUUAAUGGCAUAGCAUAGCAAUUACAUUACUAACCAAUUUAUCAAGGCAAAACAGAUAGUUCAUAUUUUUCAACACAGGUAUAAAUUCAGCCAAUCAUGCCAAUUUAUCACAAGCCAUUUAAUUCAAAUCAUAAUUUACAAUAAAUCACAUGGUCUCCAAUUACUCAAAUUUUCAAAGCCAUCAUUCAAUUUCAAGACAAUUUUAUGAAAUUAUUUUAUAAAAUCACAAUUUCUCCUAAAACAUAGCAAUUUACCAUUUAAACCCAUUUUCUACAAAAUCACACAAUUGUAUAAAACUACUCUAGAUAAUUAAGACGAUAAUAAGUUCACUCACAGUAUUUGGAGUAGAAAUGCUCCUAUUUUCAGUCCGCAAGUACAGUCCUUUACCCGUAUCCAAUGGCUCACCACCGAGCCAUAAUCCAUGACACAUAUUCCAAUUAAAUUGUAUCAACAGUCAUAAGCUAUUUUAGGCUCGAUAUAUAUAUGCAUGAUAUGAAAUGAAAAAUACACAGGUAGCCAUCUACACCCGGUAUUGGCCUAAGUCGAUUUUUCAUCCGAUAAAUUGGCCAAUGCAUCCAAUUUCACUCCAACUUGCUCCAUUUCUUUUCUAAUCCCUCAAUUCACCAAGCACAACUAAUUAACACACAAUUAGGCAAAUUUAUCUUCACUUUUCUUCUUGGAACUUUCGGCCAUUGUGGUGCACUAUCACUAAAAAUUUUCCCAUUCCAUUUUCUCACCAUAAAUCAUCAUUUCAUCAAAUUUUCAACUAAUUCACUUGAUCACAAAAUUAAUUCAUUACUUCUACACUUCAUAUAGGGUUUGGCCAUUGAAGGUUCAUGGGGAAAAUGGAUUCUUUUCUUGUUGUUUUAUUUCUAAACAUGUUUAACUAACUCUAAACACCAACAUAACUCAAAAUCAAACAAUUCCAACAUCUUUCUCUCUCCAUACCCAUUUUGACCAGCCAUGAUUUCAUCAUGAAAACAUGUAAUUUAACCAUGGAAAUUAAGGGAAAAUGCAUGGGUAAGGUAAAUCACUAGCAAAAUCAAAGAAAUUUUACCUUUGCUUGAUCAAAUCCUUGAAUUCCAACACUUUCUCUUUGAUUUUUCCCACCUAGGGUUUGUUCUUCCUUGGUUUCUCAUCUCUUCUGGUUUGGCUGAUCACUAUGGGAGAAAUGGGCUGAUUUUUUAC
RNAcentral lists this long non-coding RNA (1889 nucleotides) under Theobroma cacao (cacao). Its description in RNAcentral is "long non-coding RNA (TCAC_LNC001288)". The record is from RNAcentral. Lineage: Eukaryota; Viridiplantae; Streptophyta; Magnoliopsida; Malvales; Malvaceae.